AACGAACGCUGGCGGCAUGCCUAACACAUGCAAGUCGAACGAGAUCCUUCGGGGUCUAGUGGCGCACGGGUGCGUAACGCGUGGGAAUCUGCCAUUAGGUUCGGAAUUACAGUUAGAAAUGACUGCUAAUACCGGAUCAUGACGUUAAAUCCAAAGAUUGAUAGCCUGAGGAUGAGCCGGUGUUGGAUUAGCUGGUUGGUGUGCUAAAGGCGGACCAAGGAGCCAAUCCUUAGCUUGGAAGAGAGAAAGGUCAGCCACACUGGGACGGAGACACGGCCCAGACUCCUGGAGGAGGCAGCAGAGGGUGAUAUAGGACAACGGGCGCAAGCCAGAACCAGCAAGGGCGCUAAAGUGAUGAAGGCCGUAGAGAAAAGAAGCUCGUUAACCCGAGAUGGUAAUGACAGUAUCGAAAGAAUAAGCCCCGGCUAACUCCGUG
This 436-nucleotide ribosomal RNA is filed under the name uncultured bacterium. Its description in RNAcentral is "partial 16S ribosomal RNA". It matches the Rfam family "Bacterial small subunit ribosomal RNA", at positions 29 to 507 of the family's 1533-position model. The record is from RNAcentral.